RNAcentral lists this ribosomal RNA (693 nucleotides) under Triticum aestivum (bread wheat). Its description in RNAcentral is "partial small subunit ribosomal RNA". Lineage: Eukaryota; Viridiplantae; Streptophyta; Magnoliopsida; Poales; Poaceae. The record is from RNAcentral.
AUGCGACACUUCAAGAGCAACCUUUCCCAAGAUGCUAUUACCCAGUUUACGUCCAUGUGGAAUGACCUGCAGCCGGUGCAGCUAUCCGAAAAUCAGGAAGACACCUUAACUUGGCGUUGGACUGCAAACGGCCAAUUUUCCUCCUGCUCAGCAUACACAGCUACUCUCACUGUCAACAUCAAACCGCUGUUUGCUAAGUUGGCCUGGAGCUCCGAUGCACCCCCUAAGUGCCAGUUUUUCGUUUGGUUGGCUGCUCAAGAGCGAUGCCUGACGGCAGACAACCUAGCAAAAAGGGGAUGUCCUCACAACCGCCUAUGCUCUCUAUGCCUUCAUGAACCAGAAUCUGCUACGCACUUGCUUGCUACAUGCUCAUUUGCUAAGGAAAUCUGGCACUUGACCUUUAGCAUGCUUGAUAUGCACCACAGUUUGAUGGCCAACGAUGGGGAGUCCCUCACUCGCUGGUGGCAACGCUCCAGUUCGGCGAUGACCAGGGACAAGGCAAAGACUUGGCGGUCCAUUAUUGCUCUUGUGUGGUGGAACAUCUGGAAAGAAACAAAUGCGAGGGUAUUCACUAAUUCAUCCUGCAGUGCAAGACCCCUGUUCCAGAAGAUUCAAGUUGAAGCCAAGGAUUGGAUUGAUGCUGGCCAUAGGAGAGUUCUACACCUUGUCGAGCGACCCUUAGAACCUGAUUGA